AAGAGAACAGAAGAAACGCUUAGCACGGCACUGUAAUAAACGUAUAGAGCACGAUUUCCAUUACAACGAAAGAUACAGGAUACCUACUGAUACAGAUGCUGAAGAACGACUAAUGGACGAAGGAAGGCCGCCCCCUAGAUUAUGCACCGUAGUCAAGGUGCCAAGUUUACGGGGGAAAGCGGUUCAUCACCUUCCUGCAAUGUAGAUCAAAGUCAGCACCGAUUUUGUGCGCACACGCCGUUUC
Molecule: long non-coding RNA, 244 nt
Organism: Anneissia japonica
Lineage: Eukaryota; Metazoa; Echinodermata; Crinoidea; Comatulida; Comatulidae
Exons: 3
Source: RefSeq, a predicted model, not a curated record